Molecule: long non-coding RNA, 266 nt
Filed under: Ananas comosus (pineapple)
Lineage: Eukaryota; Viridiplantae; Streptophyta; Magnoliopsida; Poales; Bromeliaceae
Description: long non-coding RNA (ACOM_LNC023074)
Source: RNAcentral
UUGCUUCAUCUGUGCCAUCGCCACUUUUAUCUAACACUGACUGCUUAAAUUAAAUUGGCUAUUGAUUAGUUGCGUUGGACUCGACAAAGCUAAUGUUUUAGUGUACAAAAAGACCACUGGGGCUUCUACAUAACAGUGAUGUUACUUUCUCCUGGUGAUUGCGGCAUGGGAUAUGCUGAUCCUUCUGACUGUUCCUGCCAUCCUGAUGCUUAUUUAUUGCUAUUCACACGAAGGCUUUGAUGAAUAUUCAGGACACUGCUAUUGAA